CCCCGCGCCCGCGGAGCCCCGGCUCCCGCCUGCCCAGCCCCCUCCCGGGGAGCGAGCCGGGACCCAGGGGUGGGAGCAGAGUCGGGGCUUUGUGGCGCCGGGGGCCGAGGAAGAAUGAAACGUGCAGUUGGGAGUGUUGCUCGCGUCCCAGGGAGCAGCGCAGGCCCGAUUGUCUGCCGCCGAGAUGGCCUUUUGUUCGGAGCAUAAGGUUUAAGAAACACACACACGUUUUCUGGGGUCUCUUGUUGGAUGUAAAUGUGCCGCAUCCAGACGCUCGCGGNNNNNNNNNNNNNNNNNNNNNNNNNCGCCCCGCCCCGCCCCGCCCCGCCCCGGCGACCGGGACCGUUGGGACGCGGACCUCACCCAGACUUCUGGGCCGCCGGCACUGCCUUCGCCCCGUUUCACUCCAGACUAGCCAAGCAUCCCACGGAGAUGAUAAAGCAAACAAUAACAUCUGAUCAUGACGUCCACGAGAUAAUGUGCCCGGCAAAGUUCUUUAGGAAUCGGGAUGAGCGGGAGGGGAAGUCUGAUACCCAGGAGAUGAUCCGAGUUUCAACUCUCUGUGGUGAAAAGAGGGUGAAGAGCAGCAGAAGUCUAAGUGCUUUUCACCGUCUGGAAAUAUUCUAAGAUAGAAGAUCUGAGUUCACAUAUUUAAUACAGGUUAGUCUUUGGCUCUGUGAUGCUAAAUAGUUACCCUACUUAUUUCUGCUGUGUUGAGGCAGAGUAGAGGUGCUGACAGAGUUGAGAAAUUGUGGA
RNAcentral lists this long non-coding RNA (756 nucleotides) under Vulpes vulpes (red fox). RNAcentral's name for it is "lncRNA (ENSVVUG00000018530.1)". Lineage: Eukaryota; Metazoa; Chordata; Mammalia; Carnivora; Canidae. The record is from RNAcentral.